AUGGAUCAGUUCCAUCACGGCCACCACGUGCGGCUGCGCAGCCCCGUGCGCGGCGCGUACCUGCACGCCGACGAGGACGGCCACGGCGUCUCCCUCCACGGCCGCCGGGAUUCGAUGAACGUGGCCUGGGCGGUCCAUCUGGUCGAGGGUGACGACGUGCACUACCUUCACCUCCACAGCGCCGCCUACGGCCGCUACCUCGCCGCCUCCGCGACCGCGCCGGCGCCGCUCGGCCACCGCGGGCUCCGCGUCGAGCAGCGCAACUACAACCAUACGGAUGAGACCGCACUCGUUUGGCUGGCCAUCCUGUCGGACUCCGGGGACGAGGUCCUGCUCCAGCACUUCAACGGCCGCUUCCUCCGCGCCAACGGGAGGUACCUCCCCUGGAACGACGGCGCCAGCGUCGAUUACAUCAGCGACAUCCAUCGAGUCAGCACGAUGAUGCACUGGGCCGUGGAGCACGUCCCCGCGAGGGAGGCCAUGCCUCCCCUUCCACCUCCGACUGGGCUUCCCUUCCCCGCCGCCAUGGUGCCGUCGCGGGUGAUCACGUACGCGUGGAGGAGCUUCCACGGGGACCUCCUCGCCAGCGGCACCAUCGUGUUCAGGGGGAGAUCCGUGUUCUGCCUCAGGGAGGAGCUGGCCAGGCGGCUGGGCCUGGGCGUGGGCCUCCUUGCAAACUUGGGCGCCGACGACAUCGUCAUGUGCCUCCCCACACGUGAUGCCCGGCUUUUCCCGCUCGUCGUCGACCUGCCCAACAGCCGCCAGAGCCUCCACAUCGCCAUCGCCAUCACCGAGACGCCCACCCACGCGGCGAUGCGGUAUGCGGAUGUCGAUGCAGAGUAG
This 843-nucleotide ribosomal RNA is filed under the name Triticum aestivum (bread wheat). RNAcentral's name for it is "partial small subunit ribosomal RNA". Lineage: Eukaryota; Viridiplantae; Streptophyta; Magnoliopsida; Poales; Poaceae. The record is from RNAcentral.